UGGGUGCUUGAUAGUGCAGGGGGCUUGAUAGCUCCUCUGUUUACAUCAUAUCCGACAGGAAUCUGGGGUCUUUGUGACAAGGGGCACGAAACUUGUGGCUUCCAUAUGAAUAAAUGUCCUACAUGU
Molecule: small nucleolar RNA, 126 nt
Organism: Cynocephalus volans (Philippine flying lemur)
Lineage: Eukaryota; Metazoa; Chordata; Mammalia; Dermoptera; Cynocephalidae
Product: small nucleolar RNA SNORA11
Exons: 1
Source: RefSeq, a predicted model, not a curated record